Molecule: ribosomal RNA, 1486 nt
Filed under: uncultured organism
Description: SSU rRNA
Rfam family: Bacterial small subunit ribosomal RNA
Source: RNAcentral
ACGCUGGCGGCGUGCCUAAUACAUGCAAGUCGAACGAACUCUGGUAUUGAUUGGUGCUUGCAUCAUGAUUUACAUUUGAGUGAGUGGCGAACUGGUGAGUAACACGUGGGAAACCUGCCCAGAAGCGGGGGAUAACACCUGGAAACAGAUGCUAAUACCGCAUAACAACUUGGACCGCAUGGUCCGAGUUUGAAAGAUGGCUUCGGCUAUCACUUUUGGAUGGUCCCGCGGCGUAUUAGCUAGAUGGUGGGGUAACGGCUCACCAUGGCAAUGAUACGUAGCCGACCUGAGAGGGUAAUCGGCCACAUUGGGACUGAGACACGGCCCAAACUCCUACGGGAGGCAGCAGUAGGGAAUCUUCCACAAUGGACGAAAGUCUGAUGGAGCAACGCCGCGUGAGUGAAGAAGGGUUUCGGCUCGUAAAACUCUGUUGUUAAAGAAGAACAUAUCUGAGAGUAACUGUUCAGGUAUUGACGGUAUUUAACCAGAAAGCCACGGCUAACUACGUGCCAGCAGCCGCGGUAAUACGUAGGUGGCAAGCGUUGUCCGGAUUUAUUGGGCGUAAAGCGAGCGCAGGCGGUUUUUUAAGUCUGAUGUGAAAGCCUUCGGCUCAACCGAAGAAGUGCAUCGGAAACUGGGAAACUUGAGUGCAGAAGAGGACAGUGGAACUCCAUGUGUAGCGGUGAAAUGCGUAGAUAUAUGGAAGAACACCAGUGGCGAAGGCGGCUGUCUGGUCUGUAACUGACGCUGAGGCUCGAAAGUAUGGGUAGCAAACAGGAUUAGAUACCCUGGUAGUCCAUACCGUAAACGAUGAAUGCUAAGUGUUGGAGGGUUUCCGCCCUUCAGUGCUGCAGCUAACGCAUUAAGCAUUCCGCCUGGGGAGUACGGCCGCAAGGCUGAAACUCAAAGGAAUUGACGGGGGCCCGCACAAGCGGUGGAGCAUGUGGUUUAAUUCGAAGCUACGCGAAGAACCUUACCAGGUCUUGACAUACUAUGCAAAUCUAAGAGAUUAGACGUUCCCUUCGGGGACAUGGAUACAGGUGGUGCAUGGUUGUCGUCAGCUCGUGUCGUGAGAUGUUGGGUUAAGUCCCGCAACGAGCGCAACCCUUAUUAUCAGUUGCCAGCAUUAAGUUGGGCACUCUGGUGAGACUGCCGGUGACAAACCGGAGGAAGGUGGGGAUGACGUCAAAUCAUCAUGCCCCUUAUGACCUGGGCUACACACGUGCUACAAUGGAUGGUACAACGAGUUGCGAACUCGCGAGAGUAAGCUAAUCUCUUAAAGCCAUUCUCAGUUCGGAUUGUAGGCUGCAACUCGCCUACAUGAAGUCGGAAUCGCUAGUAAUCGCGGAUCAGCAUGCCGCGGUGAAUACGUUCCCGGGCCUUGUACACACCGCCCGUCACACCAUGAGAGUUUGUAACACCCAAAGUCGGUGGGGUAACCUUUUAGGAACCAGCCGCCUAAGGUGGGACAGAUGAUUAGGGUGAA